UGAGGCUCAUGGGUGUGAGAUUAGGGAACUACUGUCUAAAUGGAGUGACUUCUAAGCUUACUUGGGCUUCAUCUGAAAUGCAGAUAUGAGAAGAGACAGAAAGGAUGCCACACAGAGUUAACAACAGAAACAAGGUGAGAAUGUGAAUCCGAGAAGUAAUUGAGAUUCCAUGCCCAGACUGUGAAACUUAGGAGUGUUCAGAACACUGGAACAGACUGCCGCUGAGAAAUCAGGCAAUCUCCUGGAAGAGGGGGCAGAAAGAUUGUAAGAGUCAGAGGGAAUGGAAGAUACCAGAACAAGGCUCUCUGAAUCAACUCAGCAAGCCACGUAUGAGCGCACAGAGACACAAGCAGCAAGCCCCCGGGUCUAUAUAUGGGUGAGUGCUGGGUCCUCUGCACAUAUAUUAUAGCUCUUAGCUUAGUAAUUCUAUAGGACUCUUCACUGUGAGAAUGAGUGGAUCUCUAUUUACCUGUUCUUGGGACUCUUUUCCUUCUGAUGUGUUGCCGUGUCCAACUUCAAUAUGCUAG
Long non-coding RNA from Psammomys obesus (fat sand rat), 527 nucleotides. RefSeq lists it as uncharacterized. The transcript has 3 exons. The record is from RefSeq and is a predicted model, not a curated record. NCBI's taxonomy places the organism in Eukaryota, Metazoa, Chordata, Mammalia, Rodentia, Muridae.